UGAUAUGGCCAUGCCACCGUGAACAAGCCCAAUCCUGUCUGAACUCGGAAGCUAAGCAGGGUCAGGUCUGGUUAGUACUUGGAUGGGAGACCACCUAGGAAGACCAGAUGCUAUAGGCA
This 119-nucleotide ribosomal RNA is filed under the name Pteropus alecto (black flying fox). The record is from RNAcentral. Lineage: Eukaryota; Metazoa; Chordata; Mammalia; Chiroptera; Pteropodidae.